AUGUGUACACUUAAAGUAUGGGAUGUGUCAACACGACCCUUUCUAGCGCGCUCGUUUCGUGUCUGAAUCCCCGCAUUUCGCCAAUUUGCUUGGAGCGCAGAACGCCCUCCGCGAAAGGCGGCUGCUGAUCCCGACUUUGCUCCGGUAUCGCGCAGCUUGUUGGCCUCCGGGUCCCCCGUGCCAUGCCCCCGGGAGGCUCUCCACAGACACCGCUUGCGCCGAAUUAUACGAGACUGAAUGGGUUUUUUUGGUGUGUGUGUGCAACACAACAAUUUGUCAGCUGCUGUUCACAAUGCGCUCCGCCGGGCGGUGGAAACUUGGCUGCGGUAACGCACAGCAGGUUGGAGGGCACGACCCGGAAGGAAGGAAGAGGCGAGGAGGGAAAGGCGGCGACCCUAGGCCCGCUGGCCAGCCGUUUCCAGCAUCAAUUCAGCACUGAGCCGGCCGCAGCAGCACAGGGCUGGGGGCUCCCGGAGCUGCGGCCAGCCGGGGUUUCGGCCAGAGCCGCGGAGGCUGCCCGGUGGUAGGUGCGACUCUUCACCUCUCCGGGGAGCGGCGGCCGACGACCCAACCCACCCGCAGCGCUGCCGUCGGCCCGGCUGGUCCCCCGCGCGGGCACAAAAACAGGCGGCAGUUCGCCAGCUCUCUUUUCCCAAACCUGAACCGCCAAGCCGAAGGUUCUUCCAAAGUCGCGGUUCCCCGGGCUUCACACCCGCCGGGCAGGCGCGAACCAGCCCCAGGACAACCAUUUUCCUCUUCACUGUAUCUGAGUCGUUGUCCAUCUGACUCGAAUGUCACCUGAUUUUCCCAGCUGUGACCUCCAGCGACGGGACUCCGAGGAACUGAUUCCAGCGUCUCGAUUCUCUCCGCCUCUCCGCCCGUUUUGGCUGAAGCGGUUUGCAGCCGUCGGGGCAGAAGGGGUGGGAUGUGGCAGCCACCAGCCCCAGCCCAGAGAAGAAAAGAGGACGAAAUUAACGCGAAAGGACACCGGAAGUCUGAAAGCGACUCCCUCGGAUCCUCGGAAUCCGAGGCAAACCCUAACACUAGUUUGAAAGCGGAUCAUAUCCACUAAUCCAGGACAAAUUCGGGUUGGGAAACAUACUCCCCAGAGCCUAAGAAAACUGACUUACAACAAAACAAAACUGACAAGGACAAAAUGCAAAGGAGUUUGUGAAACGUAAUUGCUCUCAGAAAAUAUGUGUAUAUAUAUACAUCCUAUAAUAUGUUUUAAAUUUGCAAAAAAAAAGUCUCUAAGAGGAUAUAUUUUUAAAACCAGUGGCAGCUUGGGAGGGAGUGGGGAUUAGCUGAGAAGGGGAGAAGGAAGCAUUUUUGAGGUGACGUAAAUGUUUUUGUAUCUUGAUUAUGGUGGCUGUUAUGGGGGUGCACAUCCAAGUGUCAAGACUCAUCGAACUGUACACUUUUGUUCUAGGUACAUUAGACCUCAAUAAAGUGGAUUUUAAACCUAAAUAAGCCAGGUAACAGCUUUGCCUGGGUGGCUGGGGGAGAGGCUUGGGACACUUUACAUUGAUCUCCCUCUUAGGCAUGUUCGUUUUGGUUUGGUUUUGUUCUUAUGAUGUAUUAUUUAUUCAAAAAUAUAUCAUUAGCAGAGUGACUGAUGUAAAUGUAAAACCAUUGUUAAGGAAACCAACAAAAGCGGGAACAAGAGACACUGGUGCAUCCUGUUAGAGGGAUAAGAAUAAGCACUCGCUGUCCAAGCUCAUAAAAUAUUUUGGAAAUGAAUGUC
This is a long non-coding RNA of Homo sapiens (human), 1744 nucleotides long. The record is from Ensembl. Lineage: Eukaryota; Metazoa; Chordata; Mammalia; Primates; Hominidae.